UGGUUUGAUUAUGGCUCAGGACGAACGCUGGCGGCGUGCCUAAUACAUGCAAGUCGAACGCUUCUUUUUCCACCGGAGCUUGCUCCACCGGAAAAAGAGGAGUGGCGAACGGGUGAGUAACACGUGGGUAACCUGCCCAUCAGAAGGGGAUAACACUUGGAAACAGGUGCUAAUACCGUAUAACAAUCGAAACCGCAUGGUUUUGAUUUGAAAGGCGCUUUCGGGUGUCGCUGAUGGAUGGACCCGCGGUGCAUUAGCUAGUUGGUGAGGUAACGGCUCACCAAGGCGACGAUGCAUAGCCGACCUGAGAGGGUGAUCGGCCACAUUGGGACUGAGACACGGCCCAAACUCCUACGGGAGGCAGCAGUAGGGAAUCUUCGGCAAUGGACGAAAGUCUGACCGAGCAACGCCGCGUGAGUGAAGAAGGUUUUCGGAUCGUAAAACUCUGUUGUUAGAGAAGAACAAGGAUGAGAGUAACUGUUCAUCCCUUGACGGUAUCUAACCAGAAAGCCACGGCUAACUACGUGCCAGCAGCCGCGGUAAUACGUAGGUGGCAAGCGUUGUCCGGAUUUAUUGGGCGUAAAGCGAGCGCAGGCGGUUUCUUAAGUCUGAUGUGAAAGCCCCCGGCUCAACCGGGGAGGGUCAUUGGAAACUGGGAGACUUGAGUGCAGAAGAGGAGAGUGGAAUUCCAUGUGUAGCGGUGAAAUGCGUAGAUAUAUGGAGGAACACCAGUGGCGAAGGCGGCUCUCUGGUCUGUAACUGACGCUGAGGCUCGAAAGCGUGGGGAGCAAACAGGAUUAGAUACCCUGGUAGUCCACGCCGUAAACGAUGAGUGCUAAGUGUUGGAGGGUUUCCGCCCUUCAGUGCUGCAGCUAACGCAUUAAGCACUCCGCCUGGGGAGUACGACCGCAAGGUUGAAACUCAAAGGAAUUGACGGGGGCCCGCACAAGCGGUGGAGCAUGUGGUUUAAUUCGAAGCAACGCGAAGAACCUUACCAGGUCUUGACAUCCUUUGACCACUCUAGAGAUAGAGCUUCCCCUUCGGGGGCAAAGUGACAGGUGGUGCAUGGUUGUCGUCAGCUCGUGUCGUGAGAUGUUGGGUUAAGUCCCGCAACGAGCGCAACCCUUAUUGUUAGUUGCCAUCAUUUAGUUGGGCACUCUAGCAAGACUGCCGGUGACAAACCGGAGGAAGGUGGGGAUGACGUCAAAUCAUCAUGCCCCUUAUGACCUGGGCUACACACGUGCUACAAUGGGAAGUACAACGAGUCGCAAAGUCGCGAGGCUAAGCUAAUCUCUUAAAGCUUCUCUCAGUUCGGAUUGUAGGCUGCAACUCGCCUACAUGAAGCCGGAAUCGCUAGUAAUCGCGGAUCAGCACGCCGCGGUGAAUACGUUCCCGGGCCUUGUACACACCGCCCGUCACACCACGAGAGUUUGUAACACCCGAAGUCGGUGAGGUAACCUUUUGGAGCCAGCCGCCUAAGGUGGGAUAGAUGAUUGGGGUGAAGUCGUAACAAGGUACCC
This 1520-nucleotide ribosomal RNA is filed under the name Enterococcaceae bacterium. Its description in RNAcentral is "bacterial SSU rRNA". It matches the Rfam family "Bacterial small subunit ribosomal RNA". Lineage: Bacteria; Bacillati; Bacillota; Bacilli; Lactobacillales; Enterococcaceae. The record is from RNAcentral.